Molecule: transfer RNA, 72 nt
Filed under: Diaphorina citri (Asian citrus psyllid)
Lineage: Eukaryota; Metazoa; Arthropoda; Insecta; Hemiptera; Psyllidae
Rfam family: tRNA
About the family: Transfer RNA (tRNA) molecules are approximately 80 nucleotides in length. Their secondary structure includes four short double-helical elements and three loops (D, anti-codon, and T loops).
Source: Rfam by way of RNAcentral
GCUCCCAUGGCAUAGUGGUCACUGCACUCGUCUUGCACACAAGAGACCCGGGUUUGAUUCCCGGUGGUGUCA